GAGCCGAUAUUUUAUUGAUUUCACUUAGUUUAUUGUGCUAGAAUUAAUCAGGGAAUUGUGCUUAAUUGUCCGGUAUUUUCCCGUUUUCGCUAAUAGUGCUUAAUUUGGCCAGAAAUUCUAAUUUUAAUUAAUUUGAAUAUUUUGAGCUAAUUAUUUGCAUUAUUAUUUUCAGGGAAAAUUUUGGAAAUUCAAUUUGGGACAUUUNGAGUGAUAUCAAAUAAAGUCAAGACUCUUCACUUGGACAUUUCAAAUUUAAUUACAUUGUAACUUAGUAGUAUAGAAUAUUUUUAAUUGAACUUAUGCAAAAUGGGCCAUUUUGACAAAAAUAUGAGGGCCCAAAAUUGUAAGACACUUGACAUCCUAAGAUUUUAUUUUUUUAGGGUGGACCCCACCCCAAUUUUAGGACACAUGAUCCUAGGAACAUUCCCUUCCAGCCGUCACUUGCAGAGGACAAUAUUUUUUUCUCGGUUGCAACAUUUUGAAGAUGACUCUCGGCUGAAGCUCAUUUUGCUUUGGAUUGGAACUUUUUUUUAGCUUGGGAAUUGAAACAUGGUUGCAAUAUUUGAUUGUGGAUGAAAGGCUGCCACGUCCAGCAACGUUUAUUUUUAUGAGGAGAAGCAUUGGUCACAUCCAGCAUUAAUAGAAUGAAGGGAGAACUUACGUUUAUUUAUUUUUUAUUUAGCAUUGC
RNAcentral lists this long non-coding RNA (688 nucleotides) under Vigna radiata. Its description in RNAcentral is "long non-coding RNA (VRAD_LNC014409)". Lineage: Eukaryota; Viridiplantae; Streptophyta; Magnoliopsida; Fabales; Fabaceae. The record is from RNAcentral.